This 219-nucleotide ribosomal RNA is filed under the name uncultured Sphingomonadaceae bacterium. Its description in RNAcentral is "partial 16S ribosomal RNA". It matches the Rfam family "Bacterial small subunit ribosomal RNA", at positions 1 to 252 of the family's 1533-position model. Lineage: Bacteria; Pseudomonadati; Pseudomonadota; Alphaproteobacteria; Sphingomonadales; Sphingomonadaceae. The record is from RNAcentral.
UAGUGAGUUUGAUCCUGGCUCAGAACGAACGCUGGCGGCAUGCCUAACACAUGCAAGUCGAACGAAGGCUUCGGCCUUAGUGGCGCACGGGUGCGUAACGCGUGGGAAUCUGCCCUUGGGUUCGGGAUAACAGUGAGAAAUUACUGCUAAUACCGGAUGAUGACUUCGGUCCAAAGAUUUAUCGCCCAGGGAUGAGCCCGCGUAGGAUUAGCUAGUUGG